Molecule: ribosomal RNA, 478 nt
Filed under: uncultured bacterium
Lineage: Bacteria
Description: partial 16S ribosomal RNA
Rfam family: Bacterial small subunit ribosomal RNA
Source: RNAcentral
GACGAACGCUGGCGGCGUGCUUAACACAUGCAAGUCGAACGGUAAGGCCCUUCGGGGUACACGAGUGGCGAACGGGUGAGUAACACGUGGGUGAUCUGCCCUGCACUUCGGGAUAAGCCUGGGAAACUGGGUCUAAUACCGGUUAGGACCCUGGGAUGCAUGUCCUGGGGUGGAAAGCUUUUGUGGUGUGGGAUGGGCCCGCGGCCUAUCAGCUUGUCGGUGGGGUGAGGGCCUACCAAGGCGACGACGGGUAGCCGGCCUGAGAGGGUGACCGGCCACACUGGGACUGAGAUACGGCCCAGACUCCUACGGGAGGCAGCAGUGGGGAAUAUUGCACAAUGGGCGCAAGCCUGAUGCAGCGACGCCGCGUGAGGGAUGACGGCCUUCGGGUUGUAAACCUCUUUCAGCACCGACGAAGCGCAAGUGACGGUAGGUGCAGAAGAAGGACCGGCCAACUACGUGCCAGCAGCCGCCGCAG